This 1275-nucleotide long non-coding RNA is filed under the name Struthio camelus australis. RNAcentral's name for it is "lncRNA (ENSSCUG00000011423.1)". Lineage: Eukaryota; Metazoa; Chordata; Aves; Struthioniformes; Struthionidae. The record is from RNAcentral.
GCGCGGCGCUGGGCUGCUGCAGAAAUCCCGUCGCGUAGCUCUGGGAGAAGUCACGGCCAGGCGGUUUCUCUGCAGCGCUUCAGCCGAGUCCCUAAAUAAGGGCUUUAACUACAGAGGAGGGCGAAGGCUUUCAGCUGCUUCUUAAAACGUGGUGCCCUGAGUACAAGGGAAACGCCAAGCUCUCUGCUCCGAGCUUGGGGUUCGCGUCUCGCUGCCUGUCCUGAACAGAGCUGCGCUCCUGCCUUUUUCUGCAUGGCAGCGCCGAGCAAGAUCAGGAGAAGAGACUUUGCAAAGUAGAGCGUGGUCUGGCCAGGAAUCCAAAGUUCCUUGUAUACAAAAGGACUUGCAAACAAGACCCUGUCUUGAGGCGCUGGGAGUCUGAGCAGAGUGCUUCGCAAAGCCAAAUGGGAAGGCGCUUGCUUGUUGGAGGUCCUGAUCCGUGCUAGGGCUGGUCCUCACGCGCUUGCUUAACUUGUACAGCAUUUGCUUUGGACUCAAGAUUGGCUUGAACCCCUGUAGCUUUGUGAUUUGUUCCUGAUCUCUUAGGGAGAGAGGGAUGUCAGGGGCAAUGGGGCUUUCGGUGUCCUUGGGAUAGAGAGCAGGGGAGCUAGCCUGUCGGUGCUCACCUAAGCCUGCUCUUCUCUUAGAAACCCAGAGGGAUGAAGGGAGGAGGUUGCUGGAAGGCUCUGCCAGGCACAGCAGGCCACUGGCUCCAUUCAUUUCUUCUCCCUUCUCCUGGCAGCGGUGUCCACGUCUGUGUUCAUCGUGGCGAUUCUGGUCCUCCUGCUGCUCUUGUAUCACCGGGACCCUUUGUGUUGCCAGUUCCUCUGCUCGUGUCGCUUCUUCCAGAGUCCUAGCCAGUAUGACUGCCCCCCUCCGUACUUCAGUAGCAGCCAGCGGCUGGUGGGACCUCAGCAUGGAGCAUCGCAACUGGAGAGCGCUGCCGAGAAUCCUGGCAUGCAGGGAGAUGAACUAUUCUGCGUUGGAACCCCGAGCAGCUACCAACUCCCUUCCUGGGAACAGCCUCACCUGCCAAGCUAUGAGAGUGUGCGGAAGAAAGAUCGCCAGCGGGAAAUCCAUCAUAUGAUCGCUGAGAGGUUUGGGCUGUGGGCAGACCCUUCCCAGGAGAUGCCACCUCCCUACGAGCAUGCUCUAAGGCAUCCUCCAGCUUUCUCAGGAACAGUAGUAAGCUCAGAGACUUUGGACAGACAUGGCAUGCCAGACCCUUUCCAGGCCCCUCUCAGCUACCAAACUCAGAGAAACACAGCAGUGUAA